CUUUAUUUAGACAGGGAGUCAAUGCUGAGACCAAGGUGUCUUUAUUUAGACAGGGAGUCAAAACUGAGACCAAGGUGUCUUUAUUUAGACAGGGAGUCAAUGCUGAGACCAAGGUGUCUUUAUUUAGACAGGAAGUCAAUGCUGAGACCAAGGUGUCUUUAUUUAGACAGGGA
This is a long non-coding RNA of Oncorhynchus keta (chum salmon), 173 nucleotides long. RefSeq lists it as uncharacterized. The transcript is spliced from 4 exons. Lineage: Eukaryota; Metazoa; Chordata; Actinopteri; Salmoniformes; Salmonidae. The record is from RefSeq and is a predicted model, not a curated record.